UGGUCCGUUGGUCAAGGGGUUAAGACACCGCCUUUUCACGGCGGUAACACGGGUUCGAAUCCCGCACGGACUAU
RNAcentral lists this transfer RNA (74 nucleotides) under Streptococcus pyogenes. RNAcentral describes it as "tRNA-Glu(ttc)". It matches the Rfam family "tRNA". From Rfam's summary of the family: Transfer RNA (tRNA) molecules are approximately 80 nucleotides in length. Their secondary structure includes four short double-helical elements and three loops (D, anti-codon, and T loops). Lineage: Bacteria; Bacillati; Bacillota; Bacilli; Lactobacillales; Streptococcaceae. The record is from RNAcentral.